GAUGAACGCUGGCGGCGUGCCUAAUACAUGCAAGUCGAGCGAAUGGAUUAAGAGCUUGCUCUUAUGAAGUUAGCGGCGGACGGGUGAGUAACACGUGGGUAACCUGCCCAUAAGACUGGGAUAACUCCGGGAAACCGGGGCUAAUACCGGAUAAUAUUUUGAACUGCAUGGUUCAAAAUUGAAAGGCGGCUUCGGCUGUCGCUUAUGGAUGGACCCGCGUCGCGUUAGCUAGUUGGUGAGGUAACGGCUCACCAAGGCAACGAUGCGUAGCCGACCUGAGAGGGUGAUCGGCCACACUGGGACUGAGACACGGCCCAGACUCCUACGGGAGGCAGCAGUAGGGAAUCUUCCGCAAUGGACGAAAGUCUGACGGAGCAACGCCGCGUGAGUGAUGAAGGCUUUCGGGUCGUAAAACUCUGUUGUUAGGGAAGAACAAGUGCUAGUUGAAUAAGCUGGCACCUUGACGGUACCUAACCAGAAAGCCACGGCUAACUACGUGCCAGCAGCCGCGGUAA
Molecule: ribosomal RNA, 515 nt
Filed under: uncultured bacterium
Lineage: Bacteria
Description: partial 16S ribosomal RNA
Rfam family: Bacterial small subunit ribosomal RNA
Source: RNAcentral